RNAcentral lists this transfer RNA (67 nucleotides) under Marmota monax (woodchuck). RNAcentral's name for it is "tRNA.Thr". It matches the Rfam family "tRNA", at positions 6 to 65 of the family's 71-position model. From Rfam's summary of the family: Transfer RNA (tRNA) molecules are approximately 80 nucleotides in length. Their secondary structure includes four short double-helical elements and three loops (D, anti-codon, and T loops). Further hydrogen bonds mediate the characteristic L-shaped molecular structure. tRNAs have two regions of fundamental functional importance: the anti-codon, which is responsible for specific mRNA codon recognition, and the 3' end, to which the tRNAs corresponding amino acid is attached (by aminoacyl-tRNA synthetases). tRNAs cope with the degeneracy of the genetic code in two manners: having more than one tRNA (with a specific anti-codon) for a particular amino acid; and 'wobble' base-pairing, i.e. permitting non-standard base-pairing at the 3rd anti-codon position. Lineage: Eukaryota; Metazoa; Chordata; Mammalia; Rodentia; Sciuridae. The record is from RNAcentral.
GGCUGUAGCUUAGUGGUAGAGCACUUGCCUGGUAUGUAUGACGCUCUGGGUUCAAUCCUCGGCAUCA